RNAcentral lists this ribosomal RNA (301 nucleotides) under uncultured bacterium. Its description in RNAcentral is "partial 16S ribosomal RNA". It matches the Rfam family "Bacterial small subunit ribosomal RNA", at positions 509 to 807 of the family's 1533-position model. The record is from RNAcentral.
CAGCCGCCACGGUAAUACGAAGGGGGCUAGCGUUGUUCGGAAUCACUGGGCGUAAAGGGUGCGUAGGCGGGAUCUUAAGUCAGGGGUGAAAUCCCGAGGCUCAACCUCGGAACUGCCUUUGAUACUGGGGUCCUUGAGUCCGGAAGAGGUGAGUGGAACUGCGAGUGUAGAGGUGAAAUUCGUAGAUAUUCGCAAGAACACCGGUGGCGAAGGCGGCUCACUGGUCCGGAACUGACGCUGAGGCACGACAGCGUGGGGAGCAAACAGGAUUAGAUACCCCGGUAGUCCCUGUCUCUUAUAC